GGAUAGCUCAGUUGGUUAGAGCGUGGUGCUGAUAAUGCCAAGGUUGCAGGUUUGAUCCCCAGGUGGGACA
This is a non-coding RNA of Podarcis lilfordi (Lilford's wall lizard), 70 nucleotides long. The record is from the annotation of a GenBank genome assembly. NCBI's taxonomy places the organism in Eukaryota, Metazoa, Chordata, Lepidosauria, Squamata, Lacertidae.